This 33-nucleotide ribosomal RNA is filed under the name Eucalyptus aspratilis. RNAcentral's name for it is "partial 18S ribosomal RNA". The record is from RNAcentral. Lineage: Eukaryota; Viridiplantae; Streptophyta; Magnoliopsida; Myrtales; Myrtaceae.
GUUUUCCUUAGGGAAACUGCCGAAAGGUCAUUG